RNAcentral lists this ribosomal RNA (335 nucleotides) under Escherichia coli. RNAcentral describes it as "bacterial SSU rRNA". It matches the Rfam family "Bacterial small subunit ribosomal RNA", at positions 194 to 524 of the family's 1533-position model. The record is from RNAcentral. Lineage: Bacteria; Pseudomonadati; Pseudomonadota; Gammaproteobacteria; Enterobacterales; Enterobacteriaceae.
GGGGGACCUUCGGGCCUCUUGCCAUCGGAUGUGCCCAGAUGGGAUUAGCUAGUAGGUGGGGUAACGGCUCACCUAGGCGACGAUCCCUAGCUGGUCUGAGAGGAUGACCAGCCACACUGGAACUGAGACACGGUCCAGACUCCUACGGGAGGCAGCAGUGGGGAAUAUUGCACAAUGGGCGCAAGCCUGAUGCAGCCAUGCCGCGUGUAUGAAGAAGGCCUUCGGGUUGUAAAGUACUUUCAGCGGGGAGGAAGGGAGUAAAGUUAAUACCUUGGCUCAUUGACGUUACCCGCAGAAGAAGCACCGGCUAACUUAUUGCCAGCAGCCGCCGUAAU